GAUGAACGCUGGCGGCGUGCCUAAUACAUGCAAGUCGAGCGAACAGAUAAGGAGCUUGCUCCUUUGACGUUAGCGGCGGACGGGUGAGUUACACGUGGAUAACCUACCUAUAAGACUGGGAUAACUUCGGGAAACCGGAGCUAAUACCGGAUAACAUAUUGAACCGCAUGGUUCAAUAGUGAAAGGCGGCUUUGCUGUCACUUAUAGAUGGAUCCGCGCCGUAUUAGCUAGUUGGUAAGGUAACGGCUUACCAAGGCAACGAUACGUAGCCGACCUGAGAGGGUGAUCGGCCACACUGGAACUGAGACACGGUCCAGACUCCUACGGGAGGCAGCAGUAGGGAAUCUUCCGCAAUGGGCGAAAGCCUGACGGAGCAACGCUGCGUGAGUGAUGAAGGUCUUCGGAUCGUAAAACUCUGUUAUCAGGGAAGAACAAAUGUGUAAGUAACUGUGCACAUCUUGACGGUACCUGAUCAGAAAGCCACGGCUAACUACGUG
Molecule: ribosomal RNA, 497 nt
Filed under: uncultured bacterium
Lineage: Bacteria
Description: partial 16S ribosomal RNA
Rfam family: Bacterial small subunit ribosomal RNA
Source: RNAcentral